UCAAAAUUCAGGGUUAUCAGAAGUAUUAAGGAGCAAUAUUAACAGUACCUGUAUUUAUAAAAUAGAAAGAUCCCAGAAGCAGCCAGAAAGUUCAAAUGAUAACAGUCUCAGCCUAUUCAAAUCCUUUGUCUGUCUUAAAGGGAGACAUUAAAUGCCUGGUUUAUUUUACCAACUUCAACUGCAGUAGCCAAUACUGUUCAUCAGUUGGAAUGCACUCUUCUAGCAUAUGCCUCCAACUUGGCUAUUUCCAUCGUGACUCCGCA
This 263-nucleotide long non-coding RNA is filed under the name Callithrix jacchus (white-tufted-ear marmoset). RNAcentral describes it as "lncRNA (ENSCJAG00000084361.1)". Lineage: Eukaryota; Metazoa; Chordata; Mammalia; Primates; Cebidae. The record is from RNAcentral.